GACGAACGCUGGCGGCGUGCCUAAUACAUGCAGGUAGAACGCUGAAGGAGGAGCUUGCUUCUCCGGAUGAGUUGCGAACGGGUGAGUAACGCGUAGGUAACCUGCCUGGUAGCGGGGGAUAACUAUUGGAAACGAUAGCUAAUACCGCAUAACAGUAGAUGUUGCAUGAUAUUUGCUUAAAAGGUGCAAUUGCAUCACUACCAGAUGGACCUGCGUUGUAUUAGCUAGUUGGUGAGGUAACGGCUCACCAAGGCGACGAUACAUAGCCGACCUGAGAGGGUGAUCGGCCACACUGGGACUGAGACACGGCCCAGACUCCUACGGGAGGCAGCAGUAGGGAAUCUUCGGCAAUGGACGGAAGUCUGACCGAGCAACGCCGCGUGAGUGAAGAAGGUUUUCGGAUCGUAAAGCUCUGUUGUAAGAGAAGAACGAGUGUGAGAGUGGAAAGUUCACACUGUGACGGUAUCUUACCAGAAAGGGACGGCUAACUACGUG
This 495-nucleotide ribosomal RNA is filed under the name uncultured bacterium. RNAcentral describes it as "partial 16S ribosomal RNA". It matches the Rfam family "Bacterial small subunit ribosomal RNA", at positions 28 to 507 of the family's 1533-position model. The record is from RNAcentral.